CCCUUGUACACACCGCCCGUCACACCAUGGGAGUUGGUUUUACCCGAAGCCGGUGCGCGAACUGCAAGGACGCAGCCGACCACGGUAAGGUCAGCGACUGGGGUG
RNAcentral lists this ribosomal RNA (105 nucleotides) under uncultured bacterium. Its description in RNAcentral is "partial 16S ribosomal RNA". It matches the Rfam family "Bacterial small subunit ribosomal RNA", at positions 1378 to 1482 of the family's 1533-position model. The record is from RNAcentral.